RNAcentral lists this ribosomal RNA (446 nucleotides) under uncultured bacterium. Its description in RNAcentral is "bacterial SSU rRNA". It matches the Rfam family "Bacterial small subunit ribosomal RNA", at positions 354 to 796 of the family's 1533-position model. The record is from RNAcentral.
GUUAAGAAUCUUGCACAAUGGGCGAAAGCCUGAUGCAGCGACGCCGCGUGAGCGAUGAAGGCCUUCGGGUUGUAAAGCUCUUUUCUGGGAGAAGAAACGGAUGGUUAAUAGCCAUCAACUGACUGUACCCCAGGAAUAAGCCUCGGCUAAUUACGUGCCAGCAGCCGCGGUAAUACGUAAGAGGCUAGCGUUGUCCGGAAUCACUGGGCGUAAAGCGCGUGUAGGUGGCUUGAUAAGUCGGAUGUGAAAUCCCCGGGCUCAACCCGGGAACUGCGUCCGAAACUGUCUGGCUGGAGAACAGGAGAGGAGAGUGGAAUUCCGGGUGUAGCGGUGAAAUGCGUAGAUAUCCGGAGGAACACCAGUGGCGAAGGCGGCUCUCUGGCCUGUUUCUGACACUGAGACGCGAAAGCGUGGGGAGCGAACGGGAUUAGAAACCCCUGUAGUCC